GAAAUGCGAUAAGUAGUGUGAAUUGCAGAAUUCAGUGAAUCAUCGAAUCUUUUAACGCACAUUGCGCCCUAUGGUAUUCCGUAGGGCAUGCCUGUUCGAGCGUCAUUUACACCUUCAAGCCUUGCUUGGUGUUGGGUGACUGUGGCCCCUUUGGGGCCACUCGCCUUAAAGUCAUUGGCGGCCGGUUCGUUGGCUUUGUAGCGCAGCACAAUUGCGUCCUCGAAGCCGCUGGACCAGCUCCCAGAAGCUAAUUUUAAAUGUUUGACCUCGAAUCAGGUAGGGAUACCCGCUGAACUUAAGCA
RNAcentral lists this unclassified non-coding RNA (302 nucleotides) under plant metagenome. Its description in RNAcentral is "partial contains 5.8S ribosomal RNA, internal transcribed spacer 2, and large subunit ribosomal RNA". The stretch from base 1 to 105 matches the Rfam family "5.8S ribosomal RNA", at positions 50 to 154 of the family's 154-position model. The record is from RNAcentral.